UGGUGCCUUUUGGUACUGUGGAUAGGGGUACGGUUUUCCACCGUACCGAAACCUAGCAGAGGGCCAGUCUGGUGCCAGCAGCUGCGGUAAUUCCAGCUCUGCGAGUUUGCUCCCAUAUUGUUGCAGUUAAAACGCCCGUAGUCUGAAUUGGCCAGCAAUGGUCGUACGUAUUUUUACGUUCACUGUGAACAAAUCAGGACGCUUAGAGUAUGGCCACAUGAAUGACUCAGCGCAGUAUGAAGUCUUUGUUUUCUUCCGAAAACAAGCUCAAUGAGAGCCAUCGGGGGUAGAUCUAUCUCAUGACGAGUGGUGGAAUACUUUGACUCAUGAGAGAGAAGCUGAGGCGAAGGCGUCUACCUAGAGGGUUUCUGUCGAUCAAGGGCGAGAGUAGGAGUAUCCAACAGGAUUAGAGACCCUGGUAGUUCCUACCUUAAACGAUGCCGACAGGAGUUUGUCAUUUGUUAAUGGCAGAAUCUUUGGAGAAAUCAUAGUUCUUGGGCUCUGGGGGAACUACGACCGCAAGGCUGAAACUUGAAGGAAUUGACGGAAGGGCACACCAGGGGUGGAGCCUGUGGCUUAAUUUGAAUCAACACGGGGAAACUUACCAGGACCAGAUGUUUUUUAUGACUGACAGGCUUCGGGUCUUUCAGGAUAUUGUUUUUGGUGGUGCAUGGCCGUUGGUGGUGCGUGGGUUGACCUGUCUAGCGUUGAUUCAGCUAACGAGCGAGAUUAUCGCCAAUUAUUUACUUUGCCGAAGUCCUUCGGUUAAAGUUCUAAUUGGGACUCCCUGCGAUUUUAGCAGGUGGAAGAGGGUAGCAAUAACAGGUCCGUGAUGCCCUUUAGAUGCUCUGGGCUGCACGCGUGCUACAAUGUUAGGAAAAAUAGGACUGCGA
This 893-nucleotide non-coding RNA is filed under the name Trichomonas vaginalis G3. RNAcentral describes it as "Eukaryotic small subunit ribosomal RNA". It matches the Rfam family "Eukaryotic small subunit ribosomal RNA", at positions 484 to 1526 of the family's 1831-position model. The record is from Rfam by way of RNAcentral. Lineage: Eukaryota; Parabasalia; Trichomonadida; Trichomonadidae.